Molecule: ribosomal RNA, 468 nt
Filed under: uncultured bacterium
Lineage: Bacteria
Description: partial 16S ribosomal RNA
Rfam family: Bacterial small subunit ribosomal RNA
Source: RNAcentral
GACGAACGCUGGCGGCGUGCUUAACACAUGCAAGUCGAACGGAAAGGCCCUGCUUUUGUGGGGUGUUCGAGUGGCGAACGGGUGAGUAACACGUGAGUAACCUGCCCUUGACUUUGGGAUAACUUCAGGAAACUGGGGCUAAUACCGGAUAGGAGCUCCUGCUGCAUGGUGGGGGUUGGAAAGUUUCGGCGGUUGGGGAUGGACUCGCGGCUUAUCAGCUUGUUGGUGGGGUAGUGGCUUACCAAGGCUUUGACGGGUAGCCGGCCUGAGAGGGUGACCGGCCACAUUGGGACUGAGAUACGGCCCAGACUCCUACGGGAGACAGCAGUGGGGAAUAUUGCACAAUGAGCGGAAGCCUGAUGCAGCAACGCCGCGUGCGGGAUGACGGCCUUCGGGUUGUAAACCGCUUUCGCCUGUGACGAAGCGUGAGUGACGGUAAUAGGUAAAGAAGCACCGGCUAACUACGUG